UCAACCUCCCGGGUUCAAGCGAUUCUCCUGCCUCAGCCUCCCCAGUAGCUGGGAUUACAGGCUCGCGCCACCACGCCUGGCUGAUUUUUGUAUUUUUAGUAGAGAUGGAGUUUCACCAUGUUGGCCAGGCUGGUCUUGAACUCCCGACCUCAGGCGAUCCACCCGCCUCAACCUCCCAAAGUGCUGGGAUUACAGGCGUGAGCCACUGCGCCUGGCCUAAAUUAUUAUUAUAUGUUUAUUUUGUUUUAAAUUAUUUUUAUAUUUUACAAUGGAGCUUCCUGACAUGUGACAAUGAUGCUACGGUUUUUUGUUGCUGUUUUUUUGUUUGUUUUUGAGAUAGAGUCUCACUCUGUCACCCAGGCUGGAGUGCAGUGGCACAAUCUCGGCUCACUGCAGCCUCUACCUCCCACGUUCAAGAGAUUCUCCUGCCUCAGACUCCCGAGUAGCUGGGAGAACAGGUGCCCACCACCACGCCUGGCUAAUUUUUUGUAUUUUUAGUAGAGACAGGGUUUUGCCAUGUUGGCCAGGCUGGUCUCAAACUCCCGACCUCAGGUGAUCCGCCACCUCGGCCUCCCAAAGUGCUGGGAUUACAGGCGUGAGUCACUGCGCCUGGCCAAUGACACUAUGCUUCACUGAACAAGCAAAAGGUACUCUGCUUCAGGAGGGAGGACAUGCCAUGAGCUCCCUUGUCUAGGCCCACACUGAGGUGACACGGCCCAAGUGCCCCAGCCCG
Molecule: long non-coding RNA, 733 nt
Filed under: Homo sapiens (human)
Lineage: Eukaryota; Metazoa; Chordata; Mammalia; Primates; Hominidae
Description: non-protein coding lnc-SLC9A8-6:1
Source: RNAcentral